AAAUAUUUUUAAAAAUUCUAUUACAAUAAUUUUAAAUCACAAUACUAAGUCCAUAACUUAGGUCCAUAAUACCAGGAGAUGAAAACUUAAAUCACUCUUCCUCUUCCUCUCUAGCCGCCUCUUUCUCUUUCUUUCCGAGAACUACUACACAGAGGGGGGUUGGAUGACAUUUUUCGGGAGAGUGGCGGGUCCGGCAGCGAAAUUGAAGACCCGAUCUGAUGAGGUGGUAGGGGGUGUUUGGAGGGGAGUGGUAGUUGUGGAGGCGGCGGCUGAGCAGGAAAUA
Molecule: unclassified non-coding RNA, 283 nt
Filed under: Hevea brasiliensis (rubber tree)
Lineage: Eukaryota; Viridiplantae; Streptophyta; Magnoliopsida; Malpighiales; Euphorbiaceae
Source: RNAcentral